Coffea eugenioides is the source of this 2094-nucleotide long non-coding RNA. RefSeq lists it as uncharacterized. NCBI's taxonomy places the organism in Eukaryota, Viridiplantae, Streptophyta, Magnoliopsida, Gentianales, Rubiaceae. The record is from RefSeq and is a predicted model, not a curated record. The transcript has 7 exons.
AUUUUAUGAGGAGGUGUAUGAUCAAGUUUUUGAGGGCUUCUAGAGAAGACUAAAGCCUUGUUUAGAUCAACCUUUCUGCAAAAGACUAAUGGACAUCUUUAAUCUUGCUCCAUCACAUAGAAUCUUCUUUGUCAAUAAUAAUGGAAAGGCAUGCAAAUGAAGACUCCAAGCAAGAUGUAGCUCAAAGUGCAAAAACCAUAAAAGUUGAAUGUGCUGAAGACAUUGGUACCAAAUUCCUUGAUUGUCCAUACCAGCAGAAAAACAUAUUCUCAAAUGAGCACUCAAAUGUCGACAAACCUUGUCGAUUUUCUGAGUUUGUGGGGUCUGCAGGUGAAUCUGCUAUUUUUGAUGAGUCCGUUACAUCUGCGGGGAUGCUAGUCAAAAGGACCUUCUUGCUGUUUGUAGCAAGUGCAAUGAUGGUGCAGAGCACAUUUACUGCAUGUGUACAAGGCUGGACAAAGUUCCUGAUAACAGCUGGAUAUGUGAAGAAAUGCAUGCUUUCGGAAGUUAAUGAGAAGAUGAACAAAUCAAGUUUGAGAAGCUUGUGGCAUGUCGAAACUACAUAUCUUCAUAUCAGACAUAUGAAGGUGGUGAAAUGUCAAAGGGUUCUGAUGUUAAGGUAUAUAAUAAAGGAUUGGAUUUUGAGAAAAGCAGAGGAGACAAUGUAGGUUCUCUACCAUCCGGUGAGAAAACUUCACGCACUGUAGCUUCUGCAUUAGUAACAAAAAAACAGCACUUGGUGGAAAAUCUGAGUCAUCUUUUAUAGCUAGAGAAAGCCAAGCUCAUCAGGCUCAGAAUUUCGGAAUAAAGCCAGGUCACGAAUAGUGUGCAGCCAAUGAUUUCUCUUCUAGAACUAGAAGCAUCCAGGAGAAAGCACCCUUACCUACUGUAUCAGGUAAUCUAAUUAAGUCAUUCAACGAUUCAGAUAAAAGACCAAAAGUCCUGCGGUUAGAUGAGCUUCCAGGAAGCCAGUUUUCCAGUGAAGCUAGCAACAAGAAAAAGGGUUUUGCUCUCAGAAAAAUGGGAAUUCUGUGUCAUUUAAUGAUGCAAGUUUUGGCCGCUCAAGUACAUUUGGUCAAAAAUGUAAGAGGAUUCCUCCAAAGGUACCUGAAGAUCGUGAUAAGAAGAGAUUGAGGUACAUGAGAGAAGAUAAUUCAACUGAAACGACAUCUACCUCUGACUUUAAGAGGCCUCAAGUUUGCUCACCAAUAGAUGGUUUGCGUGUUUCUACAUCAUCAAAUGAUAAGAAGUUUGGGUCUCAUCGUGAAAUGAUAUUGCCAGAGGCUUGUGGAAGCAAGUAGCGUGAUGCCAGAGCUGUUCAGAUUCCAUGAGACUCAGAGGUGAAUUUGAAUUUCAGAGUUCUGAGAGGCUACCCAGGGUAUCAUAUAGGAUUCAAGCACGCUUGUAUACUCAGGCAUCACCCAGAGUUCCUAAAGCAGUUAAGAAAUUCUCUGACAAACUUCUUUUGGAGGAGGUGUCUUGCUCAAAUGCAUGACCUACUCAGUUCCAGAAAUAUUGUCCCCUAGAUGAUAGCAUUGGGCUUUACUUUUUCUCGCAGAAGACAUUAGCGACUAUGGAAAUUAGGAGACCUUAUUGAAGUGUUUGGUUGAUUAUGACCUGACUCUUAGAGAAAACCAUCGGGGGAUUGAACUUCUUAUAUUCUUAUCCCACCUGGUUCCGAAGAGCUCCCAGUGUAUGAAGUGGAUCUUUACUGGUUUAUUUUAUUUCUUGAGAUUGGAUUUGACAUAGUCACUGAACUGUCAUUGCUUUGUUUUUAUAUCUUGAGAUUGGCUUUGACAUGUCCACAUCCAUAUGAACAGCUCAUUUACAGCUGGAGAGGAGCAUGUAAGACACUUGGUUGACACCCAGAUCUCUCAGCUAAAGUUGUAAUGUCUUAUAGCAUAUAUGUUCCCAUCUGAGAUCUUGUGUAUAGUUGUCUUCAGAUAAGGCCCUUAAGUUGUUUUGACAAAUAAUGGAUUCUAUUGAUUCACAGUUCUUUCCAAUGGAUAGGAACUUCCUAAGUCCAAAAUAUGGUUGUCUGGUCUGGAAUCAUUUUUUGAUUGGGAAAUGGAGAAGAAAUCAUAGUAUGGUCAA